RNAcentral lists this ribosomal RNA (440 nucleotides) under uncultured bacterium. RNAcentral's name for it is "partial 16S ribosomal RNA". It matches the Rfam family "Bacterial small subunit ribosomal RNA", at positions 338 to 795 of the family's 1533-position model. The record is from RNAcentral.
CCUACGGGCGGCAGCAGUGGGGGAUAUUGCACAAUGGGGGGAACCCUGAUGCAGCGACGCCGCGUGGGUGAAGGAGUGUUUCGGCGCGUAAAGCCCUAUCGGCAGGGAAGAAGAUGACGGUACUUGACUAAGAAGCUCCGGCUAACUACGUGCCAGCAGCCGCGGUAAUACGUAGGGGGCAAGCGUUAUCCGGAUUUACUGGGUGUAAAGGGGGCGCAGACGGCACUGCAAGCCAGAUGUGAAAGCCCGGGGCCCAACCCCGGGACUGCACUUGGAACUGCAUGGCUGGAGUGCAGGAGGGGCAAGCGGAAUUCCUAGUGUAGCGGUGAAAUGCGUAGAUAUUAGGAGGAACACCAGUGGCGAAGGCGGCCUGCUGGACUGUAACUGACGUUGAGGCCCGAAAGCGUGGGGAGCAAACAGGAUUAGAUACCCGAGUAGUC